RNAcentral lists this ribosomal RNA (476 nucleotides) under uncultured bacterium. Its description in RNAcentral is "bacterial SSU rRNA". It matches the Rfam family "Bacterial small subunit ribosomal RNA", at positions 1045 to 1529 of the family's 1533-position model. The record is from RNAcentral.
AUGGUUGUCGUCAGCUCGUGCCGUGAGGUGUCGGCUUAAGUGCCAUAACGAGCGCAACCCUUAUCUUUAGUUACUAACAGGUCAUGCUGAGGACUCUAGAGAGACUGCCGUCGUAAGAUGUGAGGAAGGUGGGGAUGACGUCAAAUCAGCACGGCCCUUACGUCCGGGGCUACACACGUGUUACAAUGGGGGGUACAGAAGGCAGCUACCUGGUGACAGGAUGCUAAUCCCAAAAGCCUCUCUCAGUUCGGAUCGAAGUCUGCAACCCGACUUCGUGAAGCUGGAUUCGCUAGUAAUCGCGCAUCAGCCAUGGCGCGGUGAAUACGUUCCCGGGCCUUGUACACACCGCCCGUCAAGCCAUGAAAGCCGGGGGUACCUGAAGUACGUAACCGCAAGGAGCGUCCUAGGGUAAAACUGGUAAUUGGGGCUAAGUCGUAACAAGGUAGCCGUACCGGAAGGUGCGGCUGGAUCACCUC